UGGGCUCUGGGAGCCGCCAGGGAAGCAGGCUGCACCAGGUUUAUAAACAGAGCCAGCAGCAGCCCCAUUUGAAGGCGGAAAAGCUGGGAAUCCAAUUAGAUGGGGAAGUAGCUGGGGGAUCCUAGAGCUGCCUAAGAUGGGGCUGGGGGCGCCUCAAGGACCCAGAGUCCCCGCCCCCGGCACCAGGGCAGAGGUGGCAGCUCAAGGGGACGCGGGACACCGGGCGUGGAUCCAAGCCCCUGCUCUCUAGAGCGUGAUCCUCCAUGAGCUGCUCUGUGGCCCGGGGGCCGGGGGGCGGGGUGAGGGUCCCGGGGCCUGCUGGGGAAGAAGGGAGGUUUGGGAAGGCAGCUGUGGGGAGGGGCGUGUGCAGGAAUGCGGGCCGGCCCGCCUCUUUCCCGAGGAGGGACAGAGGCAGAUGGCAGCUGGGGGCUGAGAACACAGGCGAGGCUCUGAUGGACGACCCCCUCCUUGGGAUCUGGGGGGACACAGCCUCCUCAGGUUCCCAGGCCCCCGCCCUUUGCCAGCUGUGUGCAGCUGGGGCCCUGCCCUGAGGAACCCAACACCAGUGGGGGUGGGGGACCGGGGCUGCACAUGGGCUUCCCGGCCAGGGCCGCGGGCCAUUUGUGACCGACCGUGUCUGUCGGCAGGAACACGGGUGCCCUGUGGGCCGAACCCAGGCCCAGGCAGGGCUGAGGCUGGGGUCCCUGGGGGGCGCCAAGGCCCUGAGCCUCAGUUUCCCCAGGAUGGUACCUCCAGCUCCUUUCUCCGGAGGGAGACACAUCACCUCCCUGCAAAGCCAGGGCUCAGCCCGCGACCCCCUCCCCACGCCAGGAUGAGGGUCUGAGGCUCAGGGACACGUCCAGUGCCCGGCAAGUGGGCUCUGCUUCCAGAGGCCAGUGCAGAGCGGCCUUCUCCUGAGCCCUCAGGCCCCGCCACCUGCCAGGCACCCUUGCCCACCACUGAGACCCCUCCUGGGAGCCAGCCCUGUGGUGACCCCCGUUCUGCCCGGAGCCCGGGAGAGGGGGCCGGCCGGGUGGGGAGGGGGCCGCCAGAUGGCUGUAAUCCCACGUCAGCAGGGGCUUAGACACCUGCCCAGUCUCCCCCGCCCCCCGCAGGCCUGCCCAGCAUUUCUGCACAUCUCCCCUUGCAGGGGCUUUCCCCGCUGGGGUGGGCAGAGGGGCUCUAUCCCCACCCACACCCCCACCCCCAGAUUUCCUCCUUCCUGAGCUCAUGUCUCAGUGCUAGGGAGGGCUGGGCGCUCUGACAGGUCACCUGAGCGCUCGGGGACAGCUCACUUCUGAGCUGGGGGCAGGGUGGGAUGGGGGCGGGCCCAGGGGUGGGGGUCAGACUGCCCCGGCCCAUGCCUGUGUCCGCAGCCAUGUCCCGGGUCCCCUCCAGCCCUGAAGUCCGAGACUGAGUGGGCUCAGGCCCACUGUGCCCCACGCUGAGCCCCGAGCCCCGUGCAGGCCGGCGUCAUGGACCACGUGGCCUCCUGCCGCCGCGCCGCCCCGUGGGCUUUCCCACAGGGCCCACUCUGACCCCAUCACCCAGGGUGUCCGGCCAGGGAACGCUGGGCCCUUCCCAGCCAGGGCGCCCCUGCCGGCAUGGUGCACUGGCACUCAGCUUCUGGGGGCAUGCGGGUCAGGAAGGUGGGACUCAGGCUCGUCCUGGCCGGCACCUGCCCCCCACCCCGCCCCGCUGAGGGCCCCCUGCUCCCUGGCUGCCUCCUUUCAGGGUCCGGCAGGCCUUUUCAGGGCUGGCUGAUGGCAGGCCUGCAUUUCCAUGUCAAUGGGCCGGGCCGGCGCCUGGUAAGCUGGUUAACAAGCCCCCAGCCCCAUGGGGGAGGCUGUGUGGGGUGUUAACACAACCCCAUUCUCUGGGGCUCUCUGGCCUUGCGGUUGCUAUGGCGCCCUGCAUGGCCUCUUGGGCCACGGCUAAUCCUUUCCCUGGGCCUUUCAUCCUGCUGUCCCACCCCCAGGCUGGUCGCUGGUGACUCGGGGGUGCCCAACAAGCCUGGUUUCUCUGCCGGGGUCAGAGGAGGCCGUAAAUCCAGCCCCCUGGCCCCCAGCCCUUUGUCACUGGCAUUGUCCCUGAGUCCCCAGCCCUCCUCCUCUGGGAACCUCAGCGGCGGGAAGGGCGCCUUGGCCCAGUGGUCAGCUCCUGCCCUGGGAGUGGAGGGUCUCCAGGCCCACCGCGGGCCCUGUCCUCUGCUCGUCCACCCCCUCACCCAUGUGCUCAUGGCUGUUCCUUCUCCCGCAUUCCCGCACCGCGAGCCUGGCCUCCCCGCUGCUAGUGGGAUGUGCCAGGCCUGCUCCUGCCCUCUGUUUUCGGUCUGCAGGUUUUCUCCCCAGAUGUCUGAGAUGCACCCCACCCCCCACCCGAUCUGAGUCUUCACUCGAAUGUCACCGUCCCCGUGAGGCCACAGGCCCUGCCCUCCCAGCUCCAGCACCGGUUCUGUUCUUCCUGUAGCCUCAUCCCUUCCCACACACCCUGCAGAGCUCCAUGUGGUCCUUCUUCCCAGGAUGCCAGACCCAUGAGCACAGGGCCCCAGCCCCAAGCGUGUGCCUGGCUCCUGGUACGCAGUGGACACACCGCAUGAAGGGAUGGGGCUCUCUCAUCGAGAGGUGGAUGAGGUCCCAGGUCUGGGCUGCUCUGAUGUCACACCAGAGGUCUUCACUGUCUGGUCUGUCUCCGGGGUGCAGUCUUUCUACACACCGCUUCCUGCCGCAUCCUGUCCCCAGGGAAAGAAUCCUGCAUCCGGCAUCCCCGGGAUUUGAUUAGCCUGGAUGCCAGACCCACGCUUGGCUCCCCACGGCGCCUCUCCUCCCUAGCUUCUGCUUGCAUGCCUCCAGCCAUGGGGAGCUCACCACCGGGGCGGUGCAGUUGGGAAAACGUGCUUCCAGUUCUGGGUUCCAGCUCUGAUGUGAAGGGAACUCAGCUUGAUUGGAACCUUGCCAGGGGCACCUGUCUUGGGAUACGUGGUGGCCGCUCCCUGGCUGGGGGCCGCGGAUGAGUGUUAGAAGGAUUCAGGCCUGAUAAGUCGUGAGCAUCCUCCCUUGAAACUGGCCUGUCUCUCCUCACCCUUCCAGGCACCUGCUGAUGCUCACCCUUGGCCUCCGUUGCUCUCUGAACCUCUCAGGACUCAUGCGAGGCAAGAACAGUACAUGGCUCCAUUUCACAGAUGAGAACACUGAGUCUUAAGCGGAAAGGGCUGGAGUCACCUGCAGGGAGGCAGAGCCUGACUUCCAACCUGUGCCUCUCCCUAAGUGGCAAGGGGGUGACGGCCCAGGCUUCUCACUGAGGGGCCUCGUGAGACAAGAUAGCUUUCUGCCCAGUCCUGAGUGAGAAGCAUGUGACCGAGGCUUGGACCCUCCGUCCACUCCAGCCACCCCAGGGUUCUUGGCUCCCAGGCGCCAUGGGAGUGACUAGGAGGCUGGCUACCCAGAUAGAUUGCCGCUGCCUGGCCUGGCUGGGGGCAGCCACCAAGGAGGCCUGGGACACGCUGAGGGAGAGGGGACAGGAGUGCAAAGAUGCAGGUGAGGUGCCGGCUGGCCAGGCCCCCAGGAAGGCGGCAGCAGAGAGAGAGGCUGGAGCUCAGAGGGGCUGCCCACCAAGGGCUUCAG
This 3623-nucleotide long non-coding RNA is filed under the name Bos grunniens (domestic yak). Its description in RNAcentral is "lncRNA (ENSBGRG00000023866.1)". Lineage: Eukaryota; Metazoa; Chordata; Mammalia; Artiodactyla; Bovidae. The record is from RNAcentral.